Molecule: ribosomal RNA, 356 nt
Filed under: Mariniblastus sp.
Lineage: Bacteria; Pseudomonadati; Planctomycetota; Planctomycetia; Pirellulales; Pirellulaceae
Description: bacterial SSU rRNA
Rfam family: Bacterial small subunit ribosomal RNA
Source: RNAcentral
GAUGACGUCAAGUCCUCAUGGCCUUUAUGUCUAGGGCUGCACACGUCCUACAAUGCAACGUACAAAGCGACGCGAAAUCGCGAGAUCAAGCAAACCGCAUAAAACGUUGCCCAGUUCGGAUUGCAGGCUGAAAUUCGCCUGCAUGAAGCCGGAAUCGCUAGUAAUCGUAGGUCAGCAUACUACGGUGAAUGUGUUCCUGAGCCUUGUACACACCGCCCGUCAAGCCACGAAAGUUGGGGGGGCCCGAAGUCGCGAUGCUAACCGCAAGGAGGCUAGCGCCGAAGGUCAACUCGAUGAUUGGGACUAAGUCGUAACAAGGUAGCCGUAGGGGAACCUGCGGCUGGAUCACCUCCUUU